RNAcentral lists this ribosomal RNA (497 nucleotides) under uncultured bacterium. RNAcentral describes it as "partial 16S ribosomal RNA". It matches the Rfam family "Bacterial small subunit ribosomal RNA", at positions 28 to 507 of the family's 1533-position model. The record is from RNAcentral.
GAUGAACGCUGGCGGCGUGCCUAAUACAUGCAAGUCGAGCGAACGGACGAGAAGCUUGCUUCUCUGAUGUUAGCGGCGGACGGGUGAGUAACACGUGGAUAACCUACCUAUAAGACUGGGAUAACUUCGGGAAACCGGAGCUAAUACCGGAUAAUAUUUUGAACCGCAUGGUUCAAAAGUGAAAGACGGUCUUGCUGUCACUUAUAGAUGGAUCCGCGCUGCAUUAGCUAGUUGGUAAGGUAACGGCUUACCAAGGCAACGAUGCGUAGCCGACCUGAGAGGGUGAUCGGCCACACGGGAACUGAGACACGGUCCAGACUCCUACGGGAGGCAGCAGUAGGGAAUCUUCCGCAAUGGGCGAAAGCCUGACGGAGCAACGCCGCGUGAGUGAUGAAGGUCUUCGGAUCGUAAAACUCUGUUAUUAGGGAAGAACAUAUGUGUAAGUAACUGUGCACAUCUUGACGGUACCUAAUCAGAAAGCCACGGCUAACUACGUG